UGUUGUUGAUUUAGAUGUCAUUGAUUAUUUGAGCAAAGAUGUUUUUUAUAUGAAUCAAGAUGAUAUUCUGAACAAUAAUCUUUGCAGGGAAGAGAGCCAGAAAGAGCCAGAACUGAAAAAAACUGACUGUUGCAUCCAACAGGUGGACUGCAAACAUGCGCAGAACAAAGGAGAGCCAAUCGCACCUCUUCAGAUCAGCCUUGCGCAGACUGAAACCACCACCUUUCGGCCGCCGAACUCCACCACCUUUCGGCCGCCGAACCUCUCACCACAGCUUCCAUCGCAUGAAACCCCUUCCAGUCAUCCCU
This 308-nucleotide long non-coding RNA is filed under the name Manihot esculenta (cassava). RNAcentral describes it as "long non-coding RNA (MESC_LNC004597)". Lineage: Eukaryota; Viridiplantae; Streptophyta; Magnoliopsida; Malpighiales; Euphorbiaceae. The record is from RNAcentral.